AGUGAACGCUGGCGGUAGUCCUAACACAUGCAAGUCGAACUGCAGCACCGUAAGAGCUUGCUCUUACGGGUGGCGAGUGGCGGACGGGUGCGGAAUACAUCGGAAUCUACUUUUUCGUGGGGGAUAACGUAGGGAAACUUACGCUAAUACCGCAUACGACCUACGGUUGAAAGCAGGGGAUCUUCGGACCUUGCGCGAUUGAAUGAGCCGAUGUCGGAUUAGCUAGUUGGCGGGGUAAAGGCCCACCAAGGCGACGAUCCGUAGCUGGUCUGAGAGGAUGAUCAGCCACACUGGAACUGAGACACGGUCCAGACUCCUACGGGAGGCAGCAGUGGUGAAUAUUGGAGAAUGGGCGCAAGCCUGCUCCAGCCAUAACGCGUGGGUGAAGAAGGCCUUCGGGUUGUAAAGCCCUUUUGUUGGGAAAGAAAAGCAGCAGGUUAAUACCCCGCUGUUCUGACGGUACCCAAAGAAGAAGCAACGGCUAACUUCGUG
Molecule: ribosomal RNA, 492 nt
Filed under: uncultured bacterium
Lineage: Bacteria
Description: partial 16S ribosomal RNA
Rfam family: Bacterial small subunit ribosomal RNA
Source: RNAcentral